AAACUUUCAACAACGGAUCUCUUGGUUCUGGCAUCGAUGAAGAACGUAGCGAAAUGCGAUAAGUAAUGUGAAUUGCAGAAUUCAGUGAAUCAUCGAAUCUUUGAACGCACAUUGCGCCCCUUGGUAUUCCGAGGGGCAUGCCCGUUCGAGCGUCAUUA
RNAcentral lists this ribosomal RNA (158 nucleotides) under Leohumicola verrucosa. RNAcentral's name for it is "5.8S ribosomal RNA". It matches the Rfam family "5.8S ribosomal RNA". Rfam says of the family: 5.8S ribosomal RNA (5.8S rRNA) is a component of the large subunit of the eukaryotic ribosome. It is transcribed by RNA polymerase I as part of the 45S precursor that also contains 18S and 28S rRNA. The record is from RNAcentral. Lineage: Eukaryota; Fungi; Ascomycota; Leotiomycetes.